ACAUUUUUUGACAAAUAAUGGCUGUAUAACGAGUAACUUUUUUUGGCCAAAGUAAUUGUACAUGUAGUCUAUUCCUUCUAUUGAGGAACAAGUAAUGCCCUGGAUUUCAGCUUGACAAAAGGGCUUCACUGUCACAGUAGCAAGCAUUCUUUCAAAGUUACUCAAACCCUCAACUUUUGUGGGUUUUAGAACUGUCUCACAGUGCUCGAUACGAUGCUUGACCGAUUUAUGUUUUGGAUACAAGAUGGAUUCACAGACAAUGACGUGCCUCACUUUAGAAACUGCUCCAAGAGAGGCCAUCAUUGUUGCCCCUGCUGAAAAUACCACUCGACUUUGGCUUAAGAGGGGCCACGUGGAAAGGGUUUCCAGAGUUGCUUUGCUACAUUUUACAAAUCACACCGUGUUGGAGUACUUUCUGUCGCCCGAUCCAAACGCGACCUUUUUGGGUAUACCUGAUUUUACCGAAAUAGGAUCUUUUCCUAUUCAUCACUCUUUCGAUUGGGGUAUUUUGAUGUGCGCUUAAUAUUCGACCGACUGCAAAAAGUGGGUUUAUGGCUCAGAGUCAUGGGUGGAUGGACCUAGGAUGCUCAACAUGCAUUUGGAAACCCUUGACUAUAACCAAGUUGGCAUUAUCAACAACAACCUUUGGGUUAUUGGAGGCUUUGAUUCAGGAAGGACAUUUUCUACCACGGAAUAUUAUACUCCAGAGGGUGAAUGGGUUCGGGGCCCUAAUUUACCCCAUCCUUUAAACAAAUUUGGUGUAGCUCCAAUUUCAAACUCGCAAGUCCUUAUUGUUGGAGGCAUCAUGAACGGGAAUUAUCAAAAAGAUAUUAGAUUGUUCGAUCUUGUCAAUGGAACCUGGUCCACAAUAGAUACUCAUCCUGAAAAAGUGGCAUUGGUGGCGUGUGCCAGGCACACUUUGUUGAGCGGAAAGGACGUGGUGUUUUGCACUGGGGGAAGAUGUCAAUCCCCAUGUGGAACUUCAUUAGGUGCCUUUGGAAUCACCGGAGUGUAUGACAUUGAUUCGGGCACUUGGACCUUGACCCCAGAAUGGGAUCUCCCCAUAAAAUGUGUUGAACCGAGGAUGCGUGUUUUGGAUGGUCGCCUAUUGAUAAUGGGAGGAUCAUUUAAGGAUGGAAAUAACAACCGAGUUCUAGAGUUCAAGGAAGGAGAGACUCCUGUAUGGCAAGAACUUGAGAGUAUGCUCAUAAAUGCCUUUAUGAAAAGUGCAAUAAGCGUUGAAGCAUCAAUUUGGAUCCCAGACUAGUGGGAUUCUUUCAAUAACUGUUGCUUUCUUGGGCUAGUCAUCAAUAACAUUUCCGUUUACAUCUUCAUUCAUUGCUCUCCAUGGAUCAUGUAUGUCCCUUGGGUUUCAAUUAACAUCUUGCUAUCAGCUAUCAUCCUUCAUCUAAUCAUAUAGCAAUAACGGAACUGAAGUAGGAUAACAAUGGAUUGUGUUCCUCAAUCCUUUCUAUUGAUAUUGUAUAUAUGUCAAUGUAGUGCUAAUAGUGAUACCCCAAAUUCACCAUUCAGUGUAAGAUCCUCCCUUUUACAUUCAAUAUAGAUCGAUACCUCGA
Molecule: long non-coding RNA, 1577 nt
Organism: Tigriopus californicus
Lineage: Eukaryota; Metazoa; Arthropoda; Copepoda; Harpacticoida; Harpacticidae
Exons: 3
Source: RefSeq, a predicted model, not a curated record